RNAcentral lists this ribosomal RNA (443 nucleotides) under uncultured ammonia-oxidizing beta proteobacterium. RNAcentral describes it as "bacterial SSU rRNA". It matches the Rfam family "Bacterial small subunit ribosomal RNA", at positions 198 to 622 of the family's 1533-position model. Lineage: Bacteria; Pseudomonadati; Pseudomonadota; Betaproteobacteria. The record is from RNAcentral.
GGAGGAAAGCAGGGGAUCGUAAGACCUUGCGCUUUUGGAGUGGCCGAUGCCUGAUUAGCUAGUUGGUGGGGUAAGAGCCUACCAAGGCGACGAUCAGUAGUUGGUCUGAGAGGACGACCAGCCACACUGGGACUGAGACACGGCCCAGACUCCUACGGGAGGCAGCAGUGGGGAAUUUUGGACAAUGGGCGGAAGCCUGAUCCAGCAAUGCCGCGUGAGUGAAGAAGGCCUUCGGGUUGUAAAGCUCUUUCAGUCGAGAAGAAAAGGUUGCGACUAAUAAUCGCAACUUAUGACGGUAUCGACAGAAGAAGCACCGGCUAACUACGUGCCAGCAGCCGCGGUAAUACGUAGGGUGCGAGCGUUAAUCGGAAUUACUGGGCGUAAAGGGUGCGCAGGCGGCUCUGUAAGUCAGAUGUGAAAUCCCCGGGCUUAACCUGGGAAUU